RNAcentral lists this small RNA (769 nucleotides) under Histoplasma capsulatum. RNAcentral describes it as "hypothetical RNA". RNAcentral also lists the same sequence under 1 other name. Lineage: Eukaryota; Fungi; Ascomycota; Eurotiomycetes; Onygenales; Ajellomycetaceae. The record is from RNAcentral.
CUUUUCUUCAAGAUACCGGAAAAGCUAGGGAGAUGCGGGCUGACAAAAUCGGUGAUGCCGACCUCCGCCUCUUUCAGCGCCUGGAUAUCCUGGCUGUCCAAUGCGGCGGGAGGCCCAAAUACAGAAACAGGGGUAAUAGGAGAAUUGGAAUCUGGGUCCUUUGAAAUCUUAAUGCGCUUGCGUGGGGAUUCAUCCUCGUCCGGAAUUUCUCUCCCCAUUGUUGCUGGUGUGGCUGCCGCUGAGCGCAACCUGUAGCUAUGAUGGGAGAAGAAGAAUUGGGAGCUGCACAAUGAAAGGGAGAUGCACGGGAUUCGUGUGCUAGCCCACGAGAUAGGUAAGGUGAACCUCGAAGAGGCCAAGGCGUGGAGGAGAUUGUUCAUCUACGAGGGGUUGUUGUUGGAUAUGCUCAGAGUCUGCUUCUCAGCGAAAUAUUUCUGACGCCAAGACAUCCCAAGCCCUAACGAUUCUUCCCGCAGGAUUGAUUGGUUCCCCAAGAUCGAUCUGAUCCAGGAGGACGGAUGGUGACACUGGGAUUGAAAUUGAGGCCUCUUGUGAGGACUUUGUUAAUAACUAGUCACUCUGGAUGGGGGAUUCUAGGACUUUACUGGCCAUCUUGUCGAAAUCUUGAACAUGCGUGAAUUUGAUCCUGGACAAGAUUUGGCACAUUUCAACGAGAUGUUAUAUACUAUUUAUAAAGGAGAGAUAUAUAGAAAUCGGUUCCAACAACAGAGAAUUGUUGAACGGAUCGGUUACAUUCAAUCAUACGGGA